This 680-nucleotide long non-coding RNA is filed under the name Ananas comosus (pineapple). Its description in RNAcentral is "long non-coding RNA (ACOM_LNC043089)". Lineage: Eukaryota; Viridiplantae; Streptophyta; Magnoliopsida; Poales; Bromeliaceae. The record is from RNAcentral.
AUAGACUUUGUGACUAAAAUAUCAGAUAGGAUUCACGAUGAGUCACUAACCAUUUCUUUUACUACUGAAAAAACGGAUCCUCUUUCAGAAGUUCGUGAAACACACAGUAGCAAAGCAUUACUAAAAGACUGGGUUAGUUUCGUACAGUUCCUUAUGAACAAAGUGAAUUACAAAUAUAUUUCUAUAAAGUUCAAUUUUUAUAUGUUGUUUUUUUAAAAAAUUCUAAUAUUUUCAAAUAUAUCCCUCUGGUUUAUUAUCGUUAAACUACUGUUUAUUUUAUAAGUGAAAUAAUUUUUUUACCAUCACAAAUAUGUCCCUCUAAAAAUUCCAACUGUUGAUUAAAAAGGAGUAAAAGGUCAAUUCACCUCAUUGACUAACUAGGAUUAAGUAUUUUACAUAUAGUUAACUAAUUUUUUUUAACGGAUCUUAACGGUAGGAAUAUAUUUGAAGACAUUAGGACUUUUGCAGAGACCUGUAUAAAAUUAACCUCUAAUAAAAGAAUCAGCGAUUAAGUGCCUGCUUGUUUUGCAGACAGUGAUGUUUAGAUUGAAAUAGAUUUUUAGUCGAACUAGAGUUUAAAUGAAAUUUUUUUCUUUUCUAUUAUUUAUUUCCAUUUGUGAGACCCCUGGUGUUUGACUGUGGAGGCUUGUCGACAGCUCUGGAGAGUGUCGGGACAAGUC